Malaclemys terrapin pileata is the source of this 2658-nucleotide long non-coding RNA. RefSeq lists it as uncharacterized. The record is from RefSeq and is a predicted model, not a curated record. The transcript is spliced from 2 exons. Lineage: Eukaryota; Metazoa; Chordata; Testudines; Emydidae.
GUUGUGUAGUUCUGUAUGACAUUAGUCACGUUCACUUAAAGAACUAUUGGAAGGCAUGUCUAUACUGUAGUGUAAGCCCAUACUCGGGCUUCUAUCUAAAGCCUCCUUCUGUCUGCACACAAAUCUCUUGGACUCGGGCUUGCACCUAGGGUCCUAGGACCCCACAAGUUUGGAGGGGUCAAGCCAAGACCCAGGGUUCAAACCUGGAUAAACACAGUCUCCCCUGGACUUGGGUCCUGAGAGUCUGCAAAAAGUAGCCCACAAUUCCUUGGGCUGACAUUCUUUGAGAGAGAGGAAAAUCGACUUGAGGGAAACAGGAGCAACCCCCUUGUUCUAGUACAGCAGCUCAGCAAGUUGGCAUUUAGCCCUUCCGUUUUAUUCUGACCACCGAACUGCAAACACAACUUUGGAGAACCUUCUGCAUUUGCAGUGGACGCUGACCAGGAGUAGUCCUUUGCAAAACGCACUGCUUCAUGGUUGUGGGAGCACAGGCAGAUUUUGGUUAAUCUCUCCAGUGAGUCCAGCCAAACAGUGGAUUUUAGUAAGAGUACAAGGAAUGACCACGUAUAACACCAAAUAGCGAAGAAGCUGGCAGCGUUGGAAAUUUACUGGACCAGUGACCAGUGCAGAGAGUGAAUUAAGUGACUCAAGACGGAGUACCAGAAAAAAUAGCAACAAGAGCUGCAUGUCAGGCAACCCGCCAACAGUCAUGCCUGUUUUAUGAUGAGUUUGAUCAGAUGCUAUGUGCUGCGUUGAGCAUGGAGCCAAUGGUGGUGCAUGACGACUUGGUCAGCCAAGAUGGCAACCUACGUGUCCCAGCAUGGAAACAAAAUGAAGUCAGCAAAGUGAUUGCUGCUGACACCGGUUCAGAGGAAGCUUUGCCACAGAAGCAGCUGCAGCUCAUCUCAGGGCUGUACUCAGAAGAGGUUUUUUUGCCCCAUAGAGAAUCGGCCUGCCAUGGAGCCUGGUAAGUUUCCAGCUCCAUUUUAAUGUUUAUUAAUAUAGAAAUGGGAGCGAUUUCUAUUCUAUGAAUGAAUGCAAAAGUUAGUGCUAGCCCUGGGUAGCGGUGUGUAUCCACUAAUGGCAGAUGGUAUGUCAGCGCCUUGGUGUUCACCACCAAAUGGAAUUCAAAAUGGAGACCAUGAAAUGCAAACAGUUAAAAACACAUUUAAACGUGAGUUGUUUAUGGAAAGCCACACAUUUUUGAUAGCACAUUCCUCUUGCUAAAAAUAACAACUUUGCAUUGCCAUCCCCAUAAGUACACUGCUCUGUAACCACUCAACAGUGUAAUGAGGCACCUGGAAACAGUGAACUGGGGGGAUUAUGAAAAUGUGUUCCAUUUACAAAUCUGGUCCAUUUCAGUUACAUGUAGUUCAUGCAGUCCAUAGGUGGCUAAAUCAUUUCUCCCAAAUACGACUGGGGUUUUAAGUUUGGUCCAGAAAUGUGCCGGGGAUAUGGGAAUGGCUGUGGAGUUCUGGGUAUUUUCAUGCAGUAAUAACAGGCUCAGUCAUGUGGAUGCUUACACAGCAUCUUGUUGAUUCCCUCAUGAAUUCUGACCCAAUCCCAGGUGCCGAUAGCUGCAAACUUUUCCCAUAGCAGGAACUCCAGAUAGGUAGUCAUGUUUUGGGGAAGGGCAUAUUUUCCAGGGCCAUUUUGGUAGCUGACCAUCCCACUCCACUCGUAGAGGCGCUGUUCAGUCACUACUUUGCAUAUUUCAUUGGCAGGCAUUGCUGGUUUCCCAUGGGCAGCUUGCUGUAACACCUCUUAUUUGCCAGUUGGGGACCACAAGAACUGGUAUGUCCUCCAAAAUGUGGAAUGCCUGAAAUGAUAGAGCAACCUUUUGUAGAAGAGCCACUAACGUCCCUGUUGCCCUCCCACAGCCCAAGUUGUUCUGCAAUUCUUGAGGCCCCUCAACUUCUACAGGCUAGUACUUCUACAGCGCAGAAGAAGCCUGUGUCAGUGUACCUUCAUGGACCGUUCAGAAAGGAAGCAUUUCUGUGAUGAACUUAUAGUUGUAGUUCUGGACAAGGCCAACAAGUAGCUCCAUUACCUAAGAGAGAGGGACUUAUGGCUAGAGGAAAGGCAUGACGAGAGGCAAGCAGAAAGGUUCAGGCUGGCUGUACAGCUUGAGGACAGGGUUGCAGCACAGGAGCUGACAUUUGCUUCCUAGUUCCUAAAAAAGAACAGCAGCUAAGGGAGGAUGACAGAACUCAGCAGAAAGAACUAUUUGAAUGGCUGCUGUCACUAAUGUCCGCAUGAGUACUGGCUCCUGCUGCACCCGCAUCAUGGCUUGAGUCCCCUUUGCAGUACUCUGUGCUGCAGGCCAGGAGCAGCUUGGACAACUCUAUGACUGGGUGGCUCAUGCAGUAGGGCCCCAUCUGUGGCUGGGCAGGGCAACAGUGCCCCAGUCAGUCCUCUGUACUGACAUCCUCCCCCAUGGAUGCCUUUACUGCCCUCCCCAGUGUCUAGCGCUUGGCAAACGUGGGAAGGGAAAGGAGAUUGGGGAACUGGGGGACAUGCAACAGUAGGGGGUUUCUGUCUUGUAGAUGGUUUCACUGUUUGUUUGUAAGGUUCUGUUACUGGUGUUUUGGUGUGGUGGCCUGCCUGGCAAUGUGUUAAUGUUGUAUUUUUCUAAUAAAUGUUUCCUGAUAAAGCUUU